Molecule: ribosomal RNA, 375 nt
Filed under: uncultured organism
Description: partial 16S ribosomal RNA
Rfam family: Bacterial small subunit ribosomal RNA
Source: RNAcentral
GUAGGUGGCAAGCGUUGUCCGGGAAUUAUUGGGGCGUAAAGCGCGCGCAGGCGGUUCUUUAAGUCUGAUGUGAAAGCCCACGGGCUCAACCGUGGAGGGUCAUUGGAAACUGGAGAACUUGAGUACAGAAGAGGAAAGCGGAAUUCCACGUGUAGCGGUGAAAUGCGUAGAGAUGUGGAGGAACACCAGUGGCGAAGGCGGCUUUCUGGUCUGUAACUGACGCUGAGGCGCGAAAGCGUGGGGAGCAAACAGGAUUAGAUACCCUGGUAGUCCACGCCGUAAACGAUGAGUGCUAAGUGUUAGGGGGUUUCCGCCUCUUAGUGCUGCAGCUAACGCAUUAAGCACUCCGCCUGGGGAGUACGGCCGCAAAGGCUG